This 529-nucleotide ribosomal RNA is filed under the name uncultured Cyanobacterium sp. RNAcentral describes it as "bacterial SSU rRNA". It matches the Rfam family "Bacterial small subunit ribosomal RNA", at positions 912 to 1439 of the family's 1533-position model. The record is from RNAcentral. Lineage: Bacteria; Bacillati; Cyanobacteriota; Cyanophyceae; Chroococcales; Geminocystaceae.
GACGGGGGCCCGCACAAGCGGUGGAGUAUGUGGUUUAAUUCGAUGCAACGCGAAGAACCUUACCAGGGUUUGACAUCCUGCGAACCUCUAAGAAAUUAGAGGGUGCCUUUGGGAACGCAGUGACAGGUGGUGCAUGGCUGUCGUCAGCUCGUGUCGUGAGAUGUUGGGUUAAGUCCCGCAACGAGCGCAACCCACGUUUUUAGUUGCCAGCAUUCAGUUGGGCACUCUAGAGAGACCGCCGGUGAUAAACCGGAGGAAGGUGUGGAUGACGUCAAGUCAUCAUGCCCCUUACAUCCUGGGCUACACACGUACUACAAUGCUACGGACAAAGGGCAGCGAACUCGCGAGGGCAAGCAAAUCCCAUAAACCGUGGCUCAGUUCAGAUCGUAGGCUGCAACUCGCCUACGUGAAGAAGGAAUCGCUAGUAAUCGCAGGUCAGCAUACUGCGGUGAAUACGUUCCCGGGCCUUGUACACACCGCCCGUCACACCAUGGUAUAGUUGGCCACGCCCGUAAGUCGUUACUCCAAC